AAAUUGCAGAGGUGUGCAGCUUUUCACUUGCAGAUGGUUGCCUUUGUCUUCUCCAAAAGCUUUGGUUUUUCUAUGCCAUGGUUAUGGCAUGGAGUGUAGUAAUUUCAUGAAAGAGAAAGGAAGCAAAUAUCACUUGCAAAAAGCUCUAGCUAACAGUUUCAUGUAUCAAAAGCUGGCUUAAGAGAUGAACAGAUGAGUUUGAUCAAAGAUUUGGAAAGGAAAGAGACGGAGUACAAGGACGGAGUUCAAGAGACUGAGAAAGAACAAGAUGUGUAGAUGAUAAAUUUGCCAACAACAUUUCCACUAGACAUGAGACUAAGAAGGAACAUGAAUUAUUAUUUGUUACUAUUAACUAAAGUUUUAGAAUUUGUAUUGAUGCUCAAUAUUAUUACACUUUGGUCUUAUGAGUAAUUAAAGAGUAUUGGUGUAUCUAUUGUUA
Salvia hispanica is the source of this 439-nucleotide non-coding RNA. The record is from RefSeq and is a predicted model, not a curated record. NCBI's taxonomy places the organism in Eukaryota, Viridiplantae, Streptophyta, Magnoliopsida, Lamiales, Lamiaceae.